Molecule: ribosomal RNA, 253 nt
Filed under: uncultured bacterium
Lineage: Bacteria
Description: partial 16S ribosomal RNA
Rfam family: Bacterial small subunit ribosomal RNA
Source: RNAcentral
UACGUAGGUGGCGAGCGUUGUCCGGAUUUACUGGGCGUAAAGGGCGCGUAGGCGGCCAACUAAGUCGAACGUGAAAUCCCUGGGCUCAACCCAGGAACUGCGUCCGAUACUGGUUGGCUUGAAUCCGGGAGAGGGAUGCGGAAUUCCAGGUGUAGCGGUGAAAUGCGUAGAUAUCUGGAGGAACACCGGUGGCGAAGGCGGCAUCCUGGACCGGUAUUGACGCUGAGGCGCGAAAGCCAGGGGAGCAAACGGG